RNAcentral lists this ribosomal RNA (512 nucleotides) under uncultured bacterium. RNAcentral's name for it is "bacterial SSU rRNA". It matches the Rfam family "Bacterial small subunit ribosomal RNA", at positions 34 to 518 of the family's 1533-position model. The record is from RNAcentral.
CGCUGGCGGCGUGCCUAAUACAUGCAAGUCGAACGGUCUUUCUAUGGAAGCUUGCUUCCACUGAGAAGAUAGUGGCGAACGGGUGAGUAACACGUGGGUAACCUGCCCAUAAGAGGGGGAUAACAUCCGGAAACGGGUGCUAAUACCGCAUAGUUUUCUUGAUCGCAUGAUUGAGAAAGGAAAGACGGCCUUUGUGCUGUCGCUUAUGGAUGGACCCGCGGCGUAUUAGUUAGUUGGUGAGGUAACGGCUCACCAAGACGAUGAUACGUAGCCGACCUGAGAGGGUGAUCGGCCACAUUGGGACUGAGACACGGCCCAAACUCCUACGGGAGGCAGCAGUAGGGAAUCUUCCGCAAUGGACGAAAGUCUGACGGAGCAACGCCGCGUGAGUGAAGAAAGGGUUUUCGGAUCGUAAAACUCUGUUGUCAGAGAAGAACAAGUUGGAGAGUAACUGCUCCAGCCUUGACGGUAUCUGACCAGAAAGCCACGGCUAACUACGUGCCAGCCGCCGC